AGAGUUUGAUCCUGGCUCAGAACGAACGUUGGCGGCGUGGAUUAGGCAUGCAAGUCGAACGAGAAAGCUUCCUUCGGGAAGUGAGUAUAGUGGCGAACGGGUGAGUAACGCGUGGGAAAUCUGCCAUUUGGUGGGGGAUAACAUUCCUAACGGGGUGCUAAUACCGCAUGAUAUCCGGAGAUCGCAUGGUCACCGGAUGAAAGAUGGCCUCUACAUGUAAGCUCGCACUCUGAGAUGGUCCCGCGUCCCAUUAGCUUGUUGGUGGGGUAACGGCCUACCAAGGCAACGAUGGGUAGCCGGCCUGAGAGGGUGUCCGGCCUCACUGGGACUGAGAUACGGCCCAGACUCCUACGGGAGGCAGCAGUCGAGAAGCUUCGGCAAUGGGCGAAAGCCUGACCGAGCGACGCCGCGUGAGCGAUGAAGGCCCUUGUGGUUGUAAAGCUCUGUCAGGAGGGAAUAAAGCACCAUGACUAAUACUUGUGGUGUCUGAAGGUACCUCCAAAGGAAGCACCGGCUAACUCCGUGCCAGCAGCCGCGGUAAUACGGAGGGUGCAAACGUUGUUCGGAUUUACUGGGUGUAAAGGGUGCGUAGGCGGUCUGAUAAGUCACAGGUGAAAGCCAACGGCUCAACCGUUGAAAUUGCCUGUGAUACUGUCAGACUUGAGUCCGUUAGGGGAUGGUGGAAUUCCAGGUGUAGCGGUGAAAUGCGUAAAUAUCAGGAGGAACACCAGUGGCGAAGGCGGCUAUCUGGGACGGAACUGACGCUGAGGAACGAAAGCAUGGGUAUCAAACGGGAUUAGAUACCCCGGUAGUCCAUGCUGUAAACGAUGGGCGCUAGGUGUUGGAGGGUCUUACCCCUUCGGUGCCGAAGCUAACGCAUUAAGUGCCCCACCUGGGGAGUACGAUCGCAAGGUUGAAACUCAAAGGAAUUGACGGGGGCCCGCACAAGCGGUGGAGCAUGUGGUUUAAUUCGAUGCAACGCGAAGAACCUUACCUGGACUUGACAUGCAGGAGACAGCCGUAGAGAUACGGUUUCCUUCGGGUUCCUGCACAGGUGCUGCAUGGCUGUCGUCAGCUCGUGUCGUGAAAUGUUAGGUUAAGUCCUGCAACGAGCGCAACCCCUGUCUUUAGUUGCCAACACGUAAUGGUGGGAACUCUAGAGAGACUGCCGGUGAUAAACCGGAGGAAGGUGGGGACGACGUCAAGUCAUCAUGGCCCUUACGUCCAGGGCUACACACGUGCUACAAUGGUCGGUACAAAGGGCUGCAAUACAGCGAUGUGGAGCGAAUCCCAAAAAGCCGGCCUCAGUUCGGAUCGUAGUCUGCAACUCGACUACGUGAAGUUGGAAUCGCUAGUAAUCGCGUAUCAGAACGACGCGGUGAAUACGUUCCCGGGCCUUGUACACACCGCCCGUCAAGUCAACCGAGUUGGUUGCACCCCAAGUCGCUGAGCUAACCCGUAAGGGAGGCAGGUGCCCAAGGUGUGAUUAGCGAGGGGGACUAAGUCGUAACAAGGUAACCA
This 1521-nucleotide ribosomal RNA is filed under the name uncultured prokaryote. RNAcentral's name for it is "partial 16S ribosomal RNA". It matches the Rfam family "Bacterial small subunit ribosomal RNA". The record is from RNAcentral.